RNAcentral lists this unclassified non-coding RNA (118 nucleotides) under Escherichia coli. RNAcentral describes it as "Helix 69, 71, 89, 92, 95 (Large Subunit) from Escherichia coli (PDB 3IZZ, chain B)". Lineage: Bacteria; Pseudomonadati; Pseudomonadota; Gammaproteobacteria; Enterobacterales; Enterobacteriaceae. The record is from RNAcentral.
GGCCGUAACUAUAACGGUCUCGGGUAAGUUCCGACUGAUACCGCCCAAGAGUUCAUAUCGACGGCGGUGUUUGGAUGGCUGUUCGCCAUCUGCUCCUAGUACGAGAGGACCGGAGUGG